This 903-nucleotide ribosomal RNA is filed under the name Apiospora hysterina. Its description in RNAcentral is "partial large subunit ribosomal RNA". It matches the Rfam family "Eukaryotic large subunit ribosomal RNA", at positions 39 to 966 of the family's 3401-position model. The record is from RNAcentral. Lineage: Eukaryota; Fungi; Ascomycota; Sordariomycetes; Amphisphaeriales; Apiosporaceae.
CACAUACAAUAAGCGGAGGAAAAGAAACCAACAGGGAUUCCCCUAGUAACGGCGAGUGAAGCGGGAACAGCUCAAAUUUGAAAUCUGGCCCUCGGGUCCGAGUUGUAAUUUGCAGAGGAUGCUUUUGGUGCGGUGCCUUCCGAGUUCCCUGGAACGGGACGCCUUAGAGGGUGAGAGCCCCGUACGGUUGGCCACCAAGCCUGUGUAAAGCUCCUUCGACGAGUCGAGUAGUUUGGGAAUGCUGCUCAAAACGGGAGGUAUAUUUCUUCUAAAGCUAAAUACUGGCCAGAGACCGAUAGCGCACAAGUAGAGUGAUCGAAAGAUGAAAAGCACUUUGAAAAGAGGGUUAAAUAGCACGUGAAAUUGUUGAAAGGGAAGGGUUUAUGACCAGACUUUUUCUAGGGGGAUCAUCCGGUGUUCUCACCGGUGCACUUCCCCUAGUUGAGGCCAGCAUCGGUUUCUGCCGGGGGAUAAAAGCUUCGGGAAUGUGGCUCCUUCGGGAGUGUUAUAGCCCGUUGUAUAAUACCCUGGCGGGGACCGAGGUUCGCGCAUUCGCAAGGAUGCUGGCGUAAUGGUUAUUAACCACCCGUCUUGAAACACGGACCAAGGAGUCGAACAUUUGUGCGAGUGUUUGGGUGUUAAACCCUCACGCGUAAUGAAAGUGAACGGAGGUGAGAGCCUUUAGGGGUGCAUCAUCGACCGAUCCUGAUGUCUUCGGAUGGAUUUGAGUAGGAGCAUCACUGUUCGGACCCGAAAGAUGGUGAACUAUGCGUGGAUAGGGUGAAGCCAGAGGAAACUCUGGUGGAGGCUCGCAGCGGUUCUGACGUGCAAAUCGAUCGUCAAAUCUGCGCAUGGGGGCGAAAGACUAAUCGAACCAUCUAGUAGCUCCGGUUACCGCGACAC